GAUGAACGCUAGCUACAGGCUUAACACAUGCAAGUCGAGGGGAAACGAUGAGAGAGCUUGCUCUCUUAGGCGUCGACCGGCGCACGGGUGAGUAACGCGUAUCCAACCUACCCAUUACAGGGGGAUAACCUUGCGAAAGUAAGACUAAUACCCCAUGGCAUUCUAUGGUGGCAUCAUUAUAGGAUUAAAGAUUUAUUGGUAAUGGAUGGGGAUGCGUCUGAUUAGCUUGUUGGCGGGGUAACGGCCCACCAAGGCAACGAUCAGUAGGGGUUCUGAGAGGAAGGUCCCCCACAUUGGAACUGAGACACGGUCCAAACUCCUACGGGAGGCAGCAGUGAGGAAGAUUGGUCAAUGGGCGAGAGCUUGAACCAGCCAAGUAGCGUGCAGGAUGACGGCCCUAUGGGUUGUAAACUGCUUUUAUAGGGGAAUAAAGUGAGCUACGUGUAGUUUAUUGCAUGUACCCUAUGAAUAAGGACCGGCUAAUUCCGUG
RNAcentral lists this ribosomal RNA (490 nucleotides) under uncultured bacterium. RNAcentral's name for it is "partial 16S ribosomal RNA". It matches the Rfam family "Bacterial small subunit ribosomal RNA", at positions 28 to 507 of the family's 1533-position model. The record is from RNAcentral.